UACGGGGGGAGCAAGCGUUGUUCGGAUUUGCUGGGCGUAAAGGGCGCGUAGGCGGUCAGCACAAGUCAAUUGUGAAAUCUCCGAGCUUAACUCGGAAAGGUCAACUGAAACUGUGCGACUAGAGUGCGGAAGGGGCAACUGGAAUUCUUGGUGUAGCGGUGAAAUGCGUAGAUAUCAAGAGGAACACCUGCGGCGAAGGCGGGUUGCUGGGCCGACACUGACGCUGAAGCGCGAAAGCCAGGGGAGCGAACGGG
RNAcentral lists this ribosomal RNA (254 nucleotides) under uncultured bacterium. RNAcentral's name for it is "partial 16S ribosomal RNA". It matches the Rfam family "Bacterial small subunit ribosomal RNA", at positions 524 to 776 of the family's 1533-position model. The record is from RNAcentral.